Oxyura jamaicensis (ruddy duck) is the source of this 307-nucleotide long non-coding RNA. RefSeq lists it as uncharacterized. The record is from RefSeq and is a predicted model, not a curated record. The transcript has 3 exons. NCBI's taxonomy places the organism in Eukaryota, Metazoa, Chordata, Aves, Anseriformes, Anatidae.
UUUUGUCGUCCAUUAAAUUAUUUGCUGUGAUGGCUUUAAGGCUGAUAAGAAUACUAAUGAAAAAUUUUGCUGUCUUUUGUAUCAUGGUGCUGAGGAUACUGAGGAAGUCAUUGAACAACUGGGCCUGGGGAGGAAGUGAACUCUACUGUAAAGAUGCAGAGGAAUAUCAAAGUUCCUUCAUUCUCAAGCAUAGACCAGGUUAUCAAGAUGAGCAAGACUUUCUUGAAGUUGUAGGAUGAAUGGGGAUGGCCUGACUCCAAAACUUACUUGGGCAUGAAGGUUUGUUUAGCUACCAAUGAGAUGAAAG